AGAGUUUGAUCCUGGCUCAGGACGAACGCUGGCGGCGUGCCUAAUACAUGCAAGUAGAACGCUGAAGAGAGGAGCUUGCUCUUCUUGGAUGAGUUGCGAACGGGUGAGUAACGCGUAGGUAACCUGCCUUGUAGCGGGGGAUAACUAUUGGAAACGAUAGCUAAUACCGCAUAACAAUGGAUGACACAUGUCAUUUAUUUGAAAGGGGCAAUUGUUCCACUACAAGAUGGACCUGCGUUGUAUUAGCUAGUAGGUGAGGUAAUGGCUCACCUAGGCGACGAUACAUAGCCGACCUGAGAGGGUGAUCGGCCACACUGGGACUGAGACACGGCCCAGACUCCUACGGGAGGCAGCAGUAGGGAAUCUUCGGCAAUGGGGGCAACCCUGACCGAGCAACGCCGCGUGAGUGAAGAAGGUUUUCGGAUCGUAAAGCUCUGUUGUAAGUCAAGAACGGGUGUGAGAGUGGAAAGUUCACACUGUGACGGUAGCUUACCAGAAAGAGACGGCUAACUACGUGCCAGCAGCCGCGGUAAUACGUAGGUCCCGAGCGUUGUCCGGAUUUAUUGGGCGUAAAGCGAGCGCAGGCGGUUUGAUAAGUCUGAAGUUAAAGGCUGUGGCUCAACCAUAGUUCGCUUUGGAAACUGUCAAACUUGAGUGCAGAAGGGGAGAGUGGAAUUCCAUGUGUAGCGGUGAAAUGCGUAGAUAUAUGGAGGAACACCGGUGGCGAAAGCGGCUCUCUGGUCUGUAACUGACGCUGAGGCUCGAAAGCGUGGGGAGCGAACAGGAUUAGAUACCCUGGUAGUCCACGCCGUAAACGAUGAGUGCUAGGUGUUGGAUCCUUUCCGGGAUUCAGUGCCGCAGCUAACGCAUUAAGCACUCCGCCUGGGGAGUACGACCGCAAGGUUGAAACUCAAAGGAAUUGACGGGGGCCCGCACAAGCGGUGGAGCAUGUGGUUUAAUUCGAAGCAACGCGAAGAACCUUACCAGGUCUUGACAUCCCGAUGCUAUUUCUAGAGAUAGAAAGUUACUUCGGUACAUCGGUGACAGGUGGUGCAUGGUUGUCGUCAGCUCGUGUCGUGAGAUGUUGGGUUAAGUCCCGCAACGAGCGCAACCCCUAUUGUUAGUUGCCAUCAUUCAGUUGGGCACUCUAGCGAGACUGCCGGUAAUAAACCGGAGGAAGGUGGGGAUGACGUCAAAUCAUCAUGCCCCUUAUGACCUGGGCUACACACGUGCUACAAUGGUUGGUACAACGAGUUGCGAGUCGGUGACGGCGAGCUAAUCUCUUAAAGCCAAUCUCAGUUCGGAUUGUAGGCUGCAACUCGCCUACAUGAAGUCGGAAUCGCUAGUAAUCGCGGAUCAGCACGCCGCGGUGAAUACGUUCCCGGGCCUUGUACACACCGCCCGUCACACCACGAGAGUUUGUAACACCCGAAGUCGGUGAGGUAACCUUUUGGAGCCAGCCGCCUAAGGUGGGACAGAUGAUUGGGGUGAAGUCGUAACAAGGUAGCCGUAUCGGAAGGUGCGGCUG
RNAcentral lists this ribosomal RNA (1528 nucleotides) under metagenome. RNAcentral's name for it is "bacterial SSU rRNA". It matches the Rfam family "Bacterial small subunit ribosomal RNA". The record is from RNAcentral.